CGAAAUAUAGCUUAAUUAAAGCAUCUCGCUUACACCGAGAAAACAUUUGUUAAACCCAAAUUACUUCGA
RNAcentral lists this transfer RNA (69 nucleotides) under Eupsophus calcaratus (Chiloe Island ground frog). RNAcentral's name for it is "tRNA-Val". It matches the Rfam family "tRNA". From Rfam's summary of the family: Transfer RNA (tRNA) molecules are approximately 80 nucleotides in length. Their secondary structure includes four short double-helical elements and three loops (D, anti-codon, and T loops). The record is from RNAcentral. RNAcentral also lists the same sequence under 3 other names. Lineage: Eukaryota; Metazoa; Chordata; Amphibia; Anura; Alsodidae.